This 494-nucleotide ribosomal RNA is filed under the name uncultured bacterium. RNAcentral describes it as "partial 16S ribosomal RNA". It matches the Rfam family "Bacterial small subunit ribosomal RNA", at positions 28 to 507 of the family's 1533-position model. The record is from RNAcentral.
GACGAACGCUGGCGGCGUGCUUAACACAUGCAAGUCGAACGGUGAAGCGCCUUCCUUUUUGGUGGGUGUGGAUGAGUGGCGAACUGGUGAGUAACACGUGAGUAACCUGCCCCCUUCUUCUGGAUAACCGCAUGAAAGUGUGGCUAAUACGGGAUAUUCUGGGUCUGUCGCAUGAUGGGUCUGGGAAAGAUAUUGUUUCGGUGGGGGAUGGGCUCGCGGCCUAUCAGCUUGUUGGGGGGGUGAUGGCCUACCAAGGCGGUGACGGGUAGCCGGCCUGAGAGGGUGGACGGUCACACUGGGACUGAGACACGGCCCAGACUCCUACGGGAGGCAGCAGUGGGGAAUAUUGCACAAUGGGCGCAAGCCUGAUGCAGCGACGCCGCGUGAGGGAUGGAGGCCUUCGGGUUGUGAACCUCUUUCGCCAGUGAAGCAGGCCUGCCUCGUUUGUGGGUGGGUUGACGGUAGCUGGAUAAGAAGCGCCGGCUAACUACGUG